Molecule: long non-coding RNA, 209 nt
Filed under: Lathyrus oleraceus (garden pea)
Lineage: Eukaryota; Viridiplantae; Streptophyta; Magnoliopsida; Fabales; Fabaceae
Description: Pisum sativum (pea) long non-coding RNA (PSAT_LNC040489)
Source: RNAcentral
AUUGUAUUGAGAAUAUAUUGGAAAUUGGAUAUCGAUGUGUCAGGAAAUCCAAGCAAAUCAUUUAUGCAAGUCUCAAAGAACACAUGUGAUAUAUUGUUGAACUAUUUGCCUACACUUUGCUUCAAGGGUGACGUUAUUGUGAUUAAAUUUUGGAAAUGGGAAUAUGUUGCAAGGUUUUAAAGUUUCAUUGUUUCUUUAAUGGAUGAUUU